RNAcentral lists this ribosomal RNA (460 nucleotides) under uncultured bacterium. RNAcentral's name for it is "partial 16S ribosomal RNA". It matches the Rfam family "Bacterial small subunit ribosomal RNA", at positions 338 to 795 of the family's 1533-position model. The record is from RNAcentral.
CCUACGUGAGGCAGCAGUGAGGAAUAUUGGUCAAUGGACGCAAGUCUGAACCAGCCAUGCCGCGUGCAGGAAGACGGCCCUCUGAGUUGUAACCUGCUUUUGUACGGGGGUAAAUCCCGAUACGUGUAUCGGGUUGAAAGUAUCGUACGAAUAAGGAUCGGCUAACUCCGUGCCAGCCGCCGCGGUAAUACGGAGGAUUCAAGCGUUAUCCGGAUUUAUUGGGCUUAAAGGGUGCGUAGCCGGUUCGAUAAGUUAGAUGUGAAAUCCCGGGUCUCAACUCCGGCACUGCCUCUGAUACUGUCGGGCUAGAGGUUAGUUGCGGGAGGCGGAAUGUAUGGUGUAGCGGUGAAAUGCAUAGAGAUCAUACAGAACACCGAUGGCGAAGGCAGCUUACCAAACUACGACUGACGUUGAGGCGCGAAAGCGUGGGGAGCAAACAGGAUUAGAUACCCCGGUAGUC